GUCAGGGUAGCUCAGUUGGUCAGAGCGCCACACUCAUAACGUGGAGGUCGUGGGAUCGUACCCCACCCCUGACA
Molecule: transfer RNA, 74 nt
Filed under: Candidatus Pacebacteria bacterium RIFOXYB1_FULL_44_10
Lineage: Bacteria; Bacillati; Minisyncoccota
Also listed under: 1 other name
Description: tRNA-Met
Rfam family: tRNA
About the family: Transfer RNA (tRNA) molecules are approximately 80 nucleotides in length. Their secondary structure includes four short double-helical elements and three loops (D, anti-codon, and T loops).
Source: RNAcentral